Molecule: long non-coding RNA, 2581 nt
Filed under: Arabidopsis lyrata
Lineage: Eukaryota; Viridiplantae; Streptophyta; Magnoliopsida; Brassicales; Brassicaceae
Description: long non-coding RNA (ALYR_LNC003347)
Source: RNAcentral
UCUAUACUAUUAAUUGGGAAGCAUUGGAUAAUAAAUAACCUUAUCAAGGGUAAAGAAUUACAAAAAAUGCCAUUACAAAUUUUGUAUUCAAAGAGUAAUUAAAAGGUAUCGUGGAAGGAUAAAAUGGCACAUUUGCUGGUUAAUGAGACGCGGAUCUUGGGUUAUUGGGUCGGAUCUAUAUUUAUACUCCUUUGGUAAAACACGCGGAUCUUGGUACUUAGCAUUCGGAUCCGUUAUACUCGCGGAUCUCAUCUGAUUGGGCUUCGUGGAUCAUGGUAUUUCUGAUGUUCUCGAAUAUACUCUUUGAGAUCUCCUGAAGUUAAUGCCAUAAUCAAAUUAGAUUCAAUCACUCAAAAGAGAUUUCUAUAACAAACAAAUCCAAUACAAUCUGAUUAGUAAAUAAGGAAUUAUCUCUUCAAAUACGAAUUCAGUUAUUAGAUUUUACCAAACAUAACAAAAUCUAUAUAUUCAAAUACUAACAAACAAGCAUAUACCUUAACAAUCCUUAUUCUUAAAUAUAUUACUUUGAUAUGAUUCUCUAAACCCUAAAAAGGCUAGCCGACCUUGCUUAUUAUAAAUAUAGAAUAUCAAAUGCCAAUGAAGAUACACACUAACCUUUCUUACCGAAAACACUUCUGUUCUUGCUCCUUUAAAGAAAAUGGCUGUAAAUCUUGGUAUCGCCAAUCUUGACGACAUCAAACCCUUCAAAACAAGUUGGAAAAUCCAAGUUAAAAUUGUGCAUUUGUGGACUCAAUACACGCAAUACACUGGGGAAACAAUGGAAAUGAUUCUCGCUGAUAUAACUGUAAGUAUAUAUUUUAUUUUGACUAGAUCUUAUACUAAUUACAAUCUUAUAAUAAUCAUUAAGGUGAUCCAAUUAUUAACACAUGUGUAUUUAUUUUCUGUACAGGAUACUUUGAUUCAUGCUACUAUUAAAUGUAUUAAAUGACUGCAAACCAGGUGACUCCACUUCUUUUUCAAAACCUAUAUGACUAUGCUUUGCAAGAGUCAUUUAAUGUAAGAGGUAAUUAUUACUAUUAUUCUGUAAGAAUUGAUUGUUAUAGUUCUAUUUAUACUCUAAUAAUCUUCUUCCUUUUUUUUAUCUGCUUUUACUGGUAAAAGUUUAUUUCUAACAUGCAUUUGGUGUUACUGAAAUUAUUUUACAGAGAACAAAUGAUGUUGUUUAGAAUCGCGUAUCUAUAAUUUUCAUCAGAAUUUUUUUUCAAGAAUCUCAAACAUUCAAUUCAAAACACCUUAACUUUGUUUUCAAAAGUUACUGUAAUAUGAAGUUAACUUUUUCAUAUAAAUAAUCAGUAAGGAUAAUUAAGUAUUAUGAAAAAAUAGCAGAAGUUAAUGUAUUGCUCAUCUCUAAUUCUGUUAACUCAUUUUAACAGACAAUGACAACAAAAAAUAAAUUUUAUAACAAUUCUACUAAUUCUAAAUGUAUAACAGCAGCUAUCCAUUCGUAACAAUUAACAACUAAACAAAAGUAUGCAAUCCUUAUCAUCUCACUAACCUUUAACAUUGCUUUAAGCUGUCUGAAUACUGUCUGAAUAGUCUGAAUAGCUCCAAAGACGACAUCAAUAGAAGCCUCAUCCAUAAGAAUUAAACAUGGAGAAUAUGCUUGGCCUGUAUGCAUUUAACAUUUAAACUCUAAUUUAGUAAAAUCAUUUAAUAUACAAUGAAAAAAAAAAACGUAAUAUAUAACUUUGUCUCAAAUUCAAUAAGUAUAACAAUAGCUAAAUAUUCUUAUCAACUAAACAAAAGUCCUUAUCAUCUCACAAACCUUUAACACUGUUUCAUGAUUCUGAAUAGCUCAAAAGAUGACAUUGAAACUCCCUUCUUUAUAAGAUUUAAACUCUGACAUGAAUACUGGCAUGUAUACAUUGAACUUUCUAUCAUCAGGACCACAUAUUUAUAAACAACUAUGGGUUUCUCAUAAUCGCAACAUAAAACUUAUCUUCUUCAUAAACAUCUUCUUUUGGCAUCAUCAUGUUUGUAAUUAUGUGAAAUAUAUAUAAAAUUAUAUAUAUAUAUAGACAAAUUGUCAUUAUCAUGUAACAAAAUCUACUGUCAAAAUCUAUACACAAUCCAGCUUAUGAAUAUAUUGGAUUUAAUAUCCGAAUAUAUGUUUAUCUAUUUCUCCAAACACAUGGAGAUAAAAGACUAACAAUGAUUGUCACGAACAAACUAAAAUUAAACAAUCACGAUUUAGGUUUUCUUGACAAAACAAAAUUGAAAUCAAAAUUUAGAGGCUUCAAUUGCCAAUACUUACCCAUAUAAGAUCGGGUUCUUGACAAUCGCUACCCAAGAGUUCUGUUCAUUUAUAAAACUUGAAAGAUUGGAAAUUGAAUCAAAACAUUUAGAAAAAGUAAAAGACAAAAUCUGAAUCAAUAAUAAGCUUACCCCUUUGUAGAAUUCCGAUUUAACGAUGAACAGAUGAUAAACGGAGAUGUGGUAUCUUUAUUAUCAGACAAUUUUGCAUCAUAGGCUUAGAUCGAACAAGCGACUGAGAUUUUUAGGGUGUGUUUUAGAGAGGAAUAGACAAGAAAGUUCUAAAAACAUCGGCCCAAAAAAAAAU